This 454-nucleotide ribosomal RNA is filed under the name uncultured bacterium. Its description in RNAcentral is "bacterial SSU rRNA". It matches the Rfam family "Bacterial small subunit ribosomal RNA", at positions 340 to 786 of the family's 1533-position model. The record is from RNAcentral.
UACGGAAGGCAGCAGUGGGGAAUAUUGCACAAUGGGCGCAAGCCUGAUGCAGCCAUGCCGCGUGUAUGAAAAAGGCCUUCGGGUUGUAAAGUACUUUCAGUCGUGAGGAAGGUGUUAAGGUUAAUAACCUUAGCAAUUGACGUUAGCGACAGAAGAAGCACCGGCUAACUCCGUGCCAGCAGCCGCGGUAAUACGGAGGGUGCGAGCGUUAAUCGGAAUUACUGGGCGUAAAGGGCACACAGGCGGUUAAUUAAGUUGGAUGUGAAAUCCCCGGGCUUAACCUGGGAAUGGCAUUCAAGACUGGUUAGCUAGAGUCUUGUAGAGGGGGUAGAAUUCCAUGUGUAGCGGUGAAAUGCGUAGAGAUGUGGAGGAAUACCGGUGGCGAAGGCGGCCCCUGGACAAAGACUGACGCUCAUGUGCGAAAGCGUGGGGAGCAAACGAGGGAUUAGAUACC